CAUCAAUGAAAUUUGACCAGAGAGCUACUAUUGUCUCCCCAUUUCUCUCUCUCUCUCUCUCUUAAAGAAGUAGGAUUUCUUGCCUGUUUAGGUCUUGUCAGUCCCUACCUGCACAGAGGAGAAAGUUGGUGUUGUGAGGGUUAAUACCUUGCAGAUCCGGCAAUCAUAGGUUUUGUCUGUAUUAAGAGGGGGAUGAAUCCAGAUGGCUGGAUAAUCACAGACCUGCUUGCCGGCUGGUUGUGUUCCAUAGACUCAGACAAAGAUAGUAGGGAAAAAACAGUGUGCCCCCCCCCCACAAGCAAAGAAAGGUGUGAGAGCCGGUCUGACUUCCAGCCCUUCAAAGCCUUAGCUGAUGUCCUCAUUUCCAUCAGAUGGCAGGAGAAGAGUGACCGCUGCGAAGGAAACGAAAGGAAAGAAGGAAAAGAAGCGCCCGCCCGCAAUCCCGAAAUUUGUUCACCCGGGAGAAGGAAAGAGACCUGCCACGUAACUCCAGCAAACACAUUUUUCCCCCGGCACAGGAGAAGUUCAAGGCCGGGAAGGCAAUCCGGGUUUCUUCCUCCUCCCGGCGGCGAUCGCUCCUCUCCAGGCUCCAAACGGGAUUCCGCGCCAAGCGGACGGAGGCGCCCCGACCGGAGCGCAAGCGGAGGCAAGACCUGCAGGUCCGCGGAGGCGCAACACCCUCCCCUCCGGCCCCGUCUUGCGGAUCCUCCCCGGGGGGGCCCUCCUUCCUUCGCCCACCGGCCCACCCAUCCCCACCGGCGCGCGCUGGGGGGGGCGCGUCUCUCUGCUUCCCCAGGGAGGGUCCAAGGCAGCGUCAUCGGGGCCGCUCCCUCGCAUAAAGCCACCCCGCCGACCGGCCGCCGCGCCCGUCCGUCCCGCUCCAGUCGCCCGAAGGACGGACAGGCAAGCGCCCCGUGGCGCCCCCCUGCGGAAGAUGCUGCUGGGAAGGCGGCGCGUCUUCUCGGUGGAGCCGCUUUGGAACCGAGGGAGUGCCUGGAGACCAGUCAAGGACUGUGUGGUCUUAACCUCGGUCAGCAUGACCCAGCAGUUACAGGCUCCUCAUCUUGAAUUCUCGUUUAGCCCUGAACUGGAGGGGAAGAUGAGCAGUCAAGUGGAGAGAUGGAGUGGGGCCGAGUCCCCGGCAGAAUCUGUCCCCCACAAGGUAGGCUUCUCGCCUAUGAGUGGGAGGCUCCUGAAAUCCGAAUCCGAGGACUCGGGCAUGGAGAUGGCCAGCAAUGAUCACUCUCUGUCUAGCCCAGCGGGGUCUGAGAGAAGCUUCUUUUUGGACUUCGUGGAUGGUUUCCACCCUUCGGUGGAAGACAGUCCUCCUCCACCACCCUAUGAGAGUUGCCCCAAAGGAGAGGGGCAGGAGGUGCUGCCAGGUCCCACCCAAGAUGGCACGCGCUGCCAGAAUCUCUCUGACAGCAAGGAGGCAGCACAGCCGGCCCUGCAGCCCCAGAAGCGCUGUCCUCGGCCACUGAGUCGGAUGCCCUGUGCCCUGAAGAGCUUGGAAGGGCCCCCCGCUAUGCCCCGGCCAACAAGCAUUGAUGACCUGAUGGAGAUGCUUGGUGGAGGAGAUGGUCAGCCGGCCUUUGACUGCAACUACCCAGAAGAGCCCAGCGUGAAAGACAAGGUGAAGAACGAGCCAUUACUUGCUAUGCCCGGAGAGGGCCUGCUGUACCUGGAACACAUCUGUCAGAUGAUGGAGAAGAUUGCCCAGCUUCAACGGACCAACUUGCAGCUCCAGCAUCGACAAAGAAACAUGGAGCGCUGGGCCCGGGUUCAGGAAUUUGAGAAAAAAGGCUUUUUUGAAGAAACUCCAGAAAGCCCCGGAUUGGCAAGAGUGGAAUCCCAAUGGGAGAAUUCAGCUGCUCCAGAAAUGGAAGAGGCAGUGACGGCAGAGGAGGGACCCAAUUCAUUCAAACCCUGGCACCUCCAUCACUUCCGGGCACGCUCUGCCUCCGAUACCCAUGUGCUACGGAGACCAGCCCAUGCCUCAAGGAGCAAGGCCAGUUGUUCUAGGAAAGCAGCCCUGAAUGCGGUCAGCUCACCCAGCGCCUUAGAUCAACUGGAUGGGGGUUCUCGUACUUUGCCACCCGGCAUGAAACUCAAGAGCAGAUGUUGUGAAGGACAGACAGGAAUCCCAUCGCCGAUGGCGUUUUCUGCCCAGUCUAGGGCCACAGAAACACCGAUCAAAACAACUCUCCAUGCAGUGAACUCCUGGUUUGCCUGGCGGAGACGAUCAAUGUGCAGGCUGGUGCUGUCACCUGCAUUGACUGCCAUCCCUCCUAGGCCCCUCAGGAUGUCUUCUUCCGGAUUUGUUGAGGGUUGUGGAGUUUGAAUACCCACUAGCGGAAGAGGAGACCUUAUGACUACAGCUGAGACACGCCAGCCCUACUUGUUUCUGUGAGUGGGAAAAUGGCAG
This is a long non-coding RNA of Pogona vitticeps (central bearded dragon), 2425 nucleotides long. Ensembl annotates it as chromosome unknown C8orf58 homolog. Lineage: Eukaryota; Metazoa; Chordata; Lepidosauria; Squamata; Agamidae. The record is from Ensembl.